This 214-nucleotide long non-coding RNA is filed under the name Mytilus galloprovincialis (Mediterranean mussel). The record is from RNAcentral. Lineage: Eukaryota; Metazoa; Mollusca; Bivalvia; Mytilida; Mytilidae.
UUUCAAUAUGUUCUAAAGGAAUUUCAUUAUUCAGACUUUCAAAUGCAUUUUCAAUCUGCGUCACAGGCCGACAAUUUGUAUGCUUCUCUGUCAGACAUUUAUUGCAUAGGACUGUUGCAUGCUGGUAACAAAAUGACGUCACAGAUUCAUUUUCAUGAACUUGGCACAACUGCUGUGUUUCCAUGAUGUGUGAGAGAUUUCUAUCUUAAUGACU